Molecule: microRNA precursor, 103 nt
Filed under: Marmota monax (woodchuck)
Lineage: Eukaryota; Metazoa; Chordata; Mammalia; Rodentia; Sciuridae
Source: RNAcentral
AGAGGGGUUGCUGGGUCAAAUGGUGGUUCCAUUCCCAAUUUUCUAAGAAAUCUCCAUACUGAUUUCCAUAUUGGCUGCACCAAUUUGCAGUCCCACCAGCAGU